UAUAAGUCAAUUCAGGGGAGAAUUGACAUCUUUAAAAUACUGGGUCAUCUAAUCAGUUCACAUGUUACAAGCUAUUGAGGCACUCCAGAGUGACGGCAUGUGAUCCCCCUGACACAAGAAACAGGCCCAGAUAACACACCGUUCAGACCGACAGCAGUUCUGGUUAUGCUGCAGUACAUCAGACGAGUGCUCUUAUCCAUCCACAGUUCUUAUCACAGUUACUUAUGCAUAUAUUCAUUUUUUAUAUAAAAGAAUCUUGAAUCGGUCACUUAAAUAUUGAAUCUCAAUAAUAAAAAAUACUAAAAGUAUA
RNAcentral lists this long non-coding RNA (310 nucleotides) under Homo sapiens (human). RNAcentral's name for it is "HSALNT0357730". The record is from RNAcentral. Lineage: Eukaryota; Metazoa; Chordata; Mammalia; Primates; Hominidae.